GACGAACGCUGGCGGCGUGCUUAACACAUGCAAGUCGAACGGUGAAGCGCCUUCCUUUUUGGUGGGUGUGGAUGAGUGGCGAACGGGUGAGUAACACGUGAGUAACCUGCCCCCUUCUUCUGGAUAACCGCAUGAAAGUGUGGCUAAUACGGGAUAUUCUGGGUCUGUCGCAUGAUGGGUCUGGGAAAGAUAUUGUUUCGGUGGGGGAUGGGCUCGCGGCCUAUCAGCUUGUUGGUGGGGUGAUGGCCUACCAAGGCGGUGACGGGUAGCCGGCCUGGGAGGGUGGGCGGUCACGCUGGGGCUGAGACACGGCCCAGACUCCUACGGGAGGCAGCAGUGAGGAAUAGUGCACAAUGGGCGCAAGCCUGAUGCAGCGACGCCGCGUGGGGGAUGGAGUCCUUCGGGUUGUGAACCUCUUUCGCCAGUGAAGCAGGCCUGCCUCGUUUGUGGGUGGGUUGACGGUAGCUGGAUAAGAAGCGCCGGCUAACUACGUG
RNAcentral lists this ribosomal RNA (494 nucleotides) under uncultured bacterium. RNAcentral's name for it is "partial 16S ribosomal RNA". It matches the Rfam family "Bacterial small subunit ribosomal RNA", at positions 28 to 507 of the family's 1533-position model. The record is from RNAcentral.